CAGAAAAAUCCUCGUUUGAAUGAUUUGUGUUGUAUUGUGAGUAUUGCAAAUGGGAGUCCAACUAGCAAAAAAAGUGUGAGGAAAAAAAACAGAGGUUAACAAAGUGUCUCGUACCCUAUUCUCCCCCAAUUCAAGUAAAAGUUGUUCUCCUCUGGGAGGUGCUCAUACAGAAAGAAAAGCUAUGAGAUA
This is a long non-coding RNA of Carassius carassius (crucian carp), 189 nucleotides long. RefSeq lists it as uncharacterized. The transcript is spliced from 2 exons. The record is from RefSeq and is a predicted model, not a curated record. Lineage: Eukaryota; Metazoa; Chordata; Actinopteri; Cypriniformes; Cyprinidae.